UCCUCUAGUUCUGCUUCAAAAGUAUGAAGCAAGCACUAGCAGGAUACUAAUUUACAAACUACCUGGUUAACCAAAAUACAAAAGCAGCUGACUAUGUGUGAUUUCAUGAUAGCACAUUGUUUCUUGACACUCUGGUGCCAAGAAUGAUGAUUUGGAUUUUCCUAACAACUUCUAUCAAGAGUGUAGUAGCUCAAAAUGAGAAUUUAGGAGAACCUGAAUCCAUGAAUUAAAGAAAUAAAUGUGAUUCACAUUUCUGUUACUGUGACACAAUAAUGUGAUCCUAAAACUGGCUUAUUCUUGUGUGUUUACAACUCGAAUGACUUUUUAAUGCAGUAGUUUAAAGAGAAAACAAACAUUUACGUCAAAUUAUUUCCUUAGAAGUAGUCUUCAUUAUUAUAAAUUUGUACACCAAAAAGCCAUGGGGUACUUUGUGCAAGUACCUCAUUGCUGAGCAAAUGGAGCUUGCUAUGUUUGAAUUUCAGAAAAUUUUUCAUUUAAGUAGUGUGUAGAAUCAAGUCUUUUAAGAAUUCAUUUUUUUCUUCAUAAUAUUUACUCAAAGUUAAGAUUCAAAAAUAAGUUUUAUCUUAAAAUCGUAUUUUAAGGCAUUAAGACAGUAAACUAUUUUAGGAAGUCAACUCCCAUUGUGCUUUGUGGCUGUUAUUCUAGUAAACAGAGACCAUAGUGAACUGAAUCUACAGAGAUGCCCCAAAGUAAACAGGAAAAAUUACAGAUGUGUAACUGAGCUUUAAAGGAUGAGGUGUUAAUAAAGAAAGGAAGCUGAGUACAUAUCACGAAAGGAGAUUGAAAUGUUGAGUAGCCAAAUAGAAAGGACUGAAAAUAUUUAAAGUGGUUCAUAGGUAAUGAGUAUUUCCAAUUUUGAUGUUAUUCCAUCUGGAAUUUUUAUAUCCUUUGCCAGCUGAAACGAAGUGAAGAGACAAUUAAAUUUCAUAGUCAGUGCACAGUAAUAGAAGGUAUAUCUACACCUUGCUUUGUAGAUCAAGCACCUGAAGCAAUGGAGGGGGAAUCCUGACCAGCCAAUUCCCCUAGCCCUGUGAUUGAAAUCAUGAAAGUUCUAGCAGCUUGUGAGUAGCACUGGGACAAAAUACAGUUUUAUUUUAGUGUACUUUAGUUUUUUCACUAAAGCCUUUGUCCAAAAUAAAAGGCAGUGUUGGAAAUAUUUGAAAACUAGAAAAUGAUGUAUGAAAAGGGCUGACAAGAAAAGCUCUGAGUGAUCAUGUCUGUUGAAGUGAGCUCAGAGCCUCAGAGGAAAUAGUAAGAAAGGGUAAUCAUUUAUAUAGUAAAAUAGGCAAAGCAGAAAUCAUACAUGUGCAUAUACACGCAUGUACACAUACAUACAAACCAGUAGAAUGCAUAAUUUUUAAUAUUUUUAAUAUUUUAGUGCUACCAGUUUCUAGAGAAAAUAAUCAGUAGAUAUUUUCUGCCAGAACUCAUUUAAUUGAAAUAGUAUUCAUAAAACUAGGAAUAAUGCCACAUACAUUCAAUGGGAUCUUUUAAAUACUCCAAUUAUUUUUUAAA
RNAcentral lists this long non-coding RNA (1536 nucleotides) under Canis lupus familiaris (dog). RNAcentral describes it as "lncRNA (ENSCAFG00000058030.1, ENSCAFG00805018151.1, ENSCAFG00845016362.1)". Lineage: Eukaryota; Metazoa; Chordata; Mammalia; Carnivora; Canidae. The record is from RNAcentral.